Long non-coding RNA from Canis lupus familiaris (dog), 1554 nucleotides. RefSeq lists it as uncharacterized. Lineage: Eukaryota; Metazoa; Chordata; Mammalia; Carnivora; Canidae. The record is from RefSeq and is a predicted model, not a curated record. The transcript has 6 exons.
CCCUAGGAUCAUGACCUGAGCUGAAGGCAGACGCUUAACCACUGAGCCACCCAGGCUGGACUUCAUCUCAGACCAACUGAAUCUGGAUUUCUCAGAUUAUGCACCCAGUUUGGAGGCUGCAGGCCUUACACCCAGCUGAUGGGAGAAGGACAAAAGAAGGGGACUGAGCACAUGCGCUGUGCUCCGCUACCUUUCAGGGCUUGUUCCCAGGGAAUCAUUCACCAGGACCAUACAGGGUCUUCCUACUUCUACCCUGAAAAUCGCUUGGCAUCCUGAACAAAGAAAGGGGGACUGCAGGCUGACCGUGCAAUCAGCCAAGGUUUCAUUCCCCGGUCAUCCACUCAUUGCCGGCUGCCAGCACCUGGAGUUAAAUUCCUUCUGCCAGAGGAGAAGAGGGCCUCAAGACAAGGUGAUACCGAGCCAGUCCUCAAAUAAUGAAGCGAUGUUUGCCAGUAAGAUGAGGGUUGGAGAGAGGACAUUCCAGGCAGAGGACAUUAACAGCAAGAGCCUAAAGUGGCAGCCUUCCUGACUCACUACUCCAACAUUUAUGAAGAUGCAGAACAAGGCACUCCUGCAACACGGUGAGCAAAGAUUGCUCAGGCUGUCACGCAUAGGGCCUUAGUGAUCCAGGUGGGCAGCUGACACCCUUGUCUCAAAGAUUUUCUGGGAGAGGGACUCAUGAUAAUUCCAACAGGUCACACCAAAUUAAGGAGCAGGCAGAGAAAGCCUUCAGGUCUCAGCAAGCUGUUGAGCUCAUGGUGGCAGAAACAAGUCUUCUAAAAUUCUGAUUUGUGCUUGAAAGUUCAAAUUUUAUCUUUGGUAACAAAACUGUGGGCUGUUUUCCUUGAAGUGACAGGCUCACUUCGUUCACUUUUGAGAAGACGCCUGCCAACUACUCAAGCCUGAAUAACUGUAGUUCAUCGGUCCUUCUUUCAAACACAACGGAUGUUCCAUGGAAAAAAGAGACCUAUUGAGCUUACACCUCCAACAACUGCACAAACACUUUUCCUCCAGACAGCCCUCAGACUUCAGCAAAACAGCACAAGUGCUCUACAUGUUCUUCCCAUUUCAUUGCACAGAUUAUUUUUAAAAAGAUUUUAUUUAUUUAUUCAUGAGACACACACACACACACACACACACACAGAGAGAGAGAGAGAGAGAGAGAGAGAGAGAGAGAGAGGCAGGCAGAGACACAGGCCCUGGGCUGAAGGCGGCGCUAAACCGCUGAGCCACCUGGACUGCUCAGAUUAUUAAAAAGACUUGAAUUCAAUGAUCAAGAUUUAAUUUUAAAAAUAACAUUUUUUUUUACUGGGUUAUGAAAGGAUAAAACUGGCUUUCCUGGCCCCUGAGAGUGUGCGGUGGUGAGGUACGCAAUGACCAAUGGUACAGGUGGGUGCUACCACUUUAAUUUACUAAGGUGCCAGUAGUUUUGCCCUGGGUGCGAACAUCAACCUAGUGAAAAAGGCACCCCCUGAAAGGGUCUCAGUAACUCCUAGAGGUCUACGGACCACUUUUUUUAAAAAUUUAUUCAUGAGAGACACAUAGAGAGAGAGA